UACGUAGGGUGCGAGCGUUGUCCGGAAUUAUUGGGCGUAAAGAGCUCGUAGGCGGUGUGUCACGUCGGCCGUGAAAACCUGGGGCUUAACUCUGGGCGUGCGGUCGAUACGGGCAUCACUAGAGUUCGGCAGGGGAGACUGGAAUUCCUGGUGUAGCGGUGAAAUGCGCAGAUAUCAGGAGGAACACCGGUGGCGAGGGCGGGUCUCUGGGCCGAUACUGACGCUGAGACGCGAAAGCGUGGGGAGCGAACAGG
This 254-nucleotide ribosomal RNA is filed under the name uncultured bacterium. RNAcentral describes it as "partial 16S ribosomal RNA". It matches the Rfam family "Bacterial small subunit ribosomal RNA", at positions 524 to 776 of the family's 1533-position model. The record is from RNAcentral.